AUACCAUGCUCCCGGAGCGCUGCUGAGGCUGAGGGGUGGGAGGGAGGGAAGAAAGAUGGAGAAAGUGAAGCAAAGAGUGAGAGGUGAGAGAAGCAGCAUGAAGAAAGUGGGAGGACAGAGAAAUCAGAUGAGCUGGGAUGUAGGGACAAGAAGACAUGGGAUGGGUAGACAAAAGAUGUCGAGAAAGGAUGAGAGAGAAAGAGACAGAGAGAGAGAGAGGGGAGGGAAAGAAGAAGGGAGGUUGGAGCGAUGGCAGAUGAAAGCUUUGGGAGGAGCGGAGUACUGAGCAGCAUCAGCCAGCGCUGUGAGAGCAUGUUGAGCCUGCAGGGACAGCCGGGGGAGCGGAGAAACGGCGGGGCUUUGGAAGAAGCUUAAAAGACAGACGCCUUCAACAGAGAUGUGAAGAGAGUGUGUAACUUUCUAACGACACAAAGAGGAGGAGGUUAAAUCGAGGUGUGUGCGUGCGUGUGUGUGUGUGUGUGUGUGUGUGUGUGUGUGUGUGUGUGUGUGUGUUGCGUGUGUGUGUGUCUGACCUGUUUCCCGUCAGAUCAGCAGCCAGUAAAAUGUGAAAGCAGAACUGGUGUGAAAACUGCCCCCCAGUGGAGAGAUUGUGAACGGCGUGGAAACUGGUCCCAAUAUUUGUUGAGGCUCCAACAUCUGUACUGCUACAGUUAUGUGUAUGAAGGUGAUCCAGGACAGAACUGUACUGCAGAGGGGAGAUGGCUUCAAAUGUUGCAGAACCUUUAGCUGUUCAGCAGGUGUUGUGUGUGUGUGUUAUGUUUCUGUCCGUUGAGAGAAGUUCUCGUCACACUGCCUCUGCACCAUCUCAGAGGG
Poeciliopsis prolifica (blackstripe livebearer) is the source of this 834-nucleotide long non-coding RNA. RefSeq lists it as uncharacterized. The transcript is spliced from 3 exons. The record is from RefSeq and is a predicted model, not a curated record. Lineage: Eukaryota; Metazoa; Chordata; Actinopteri; Cyprinodontiformes; Poeciliidae.